This 660-nucleotide ribosomal RNA is filed under the name uncultured Methanomicrobiaceae archaeon. Its description in RNAcentral is "SSU rRNA". It matches the Rfam family "Archaeal small subunit ribosomal RNA", at positions 195 to 859 of the family's 1478-position model. Lineage: Archaea; Methanobacteriati; Methanobacteriota; Methanomicrobia; Methanomicrobiales; Methanomicrobiaceae. The record is from RNAcentral.
UCCGCCGCCAUAGGAUGGGUCUGCGGCCGAUUAGGUAGUUGUUGGGGUAACGGCCCAACAAGCCUGUAAUCGGUAAGGGUUGUGGGAGAAGAGGCCCGGAGAAGGAAUCUGAGACACGAUUCCUAGCCCUACGGGGCGCAGCAGGUGAGAAAAUUUUACAAUGCGCGCAACCGUGAUAAAGGAACCCAGAGUGCCUGUAUACGCAGGCUUUUCUUGGGUGUAAAAAGCCAGAGGAAAAAGGGCCGGGCAAGACCGGUGCCAGCCGCCGCGGUAAUACCGGCGGCUCGAGUGGUGGCCACUAUUAUUGGGCUUAAAGCGUCCGUAGCUUGUUUGGUAAGUCUCUUGGGAAAUCUGCUGGCUUAACCGUCAGGCGUGCAAGGGAUACUGGCAUGCUAGAGACCGGAAGAGGUGAGGGGUACGCCUGGGGUAGUGGUGAAAUCCUGUAAUCCUUGAGGGACCACCUGUGGCGAAGGCGCCUUGCCAGUACGGCUCCGACAGUGAGGGACGAAAGCUGGGGGAGCAAAACGGAUUAGAUACCCGGGUAGUCCCAGCAGUAAACAAUGCGCGUUAGGUGUAUCGACGACCACGAGAGGUAUUAGUGCCGAAGGGAAACUGUAAAACGAGCCGCCUGGGAAGUACGGUCGCAAGGCUGAAACUUAA